UGGUGGCGACCGGCGCACGGGUGCGUAACGCGUAUGCAACCUACCCUGUACUGAGGGAUAGCCCGGAGAAAUUCGGAUUAACACCUCAUAGUAUAUAUCAUUCGCAUGUUUGAUAUAUUAAAGGUUACGGUACAGGAUGGGCAUGCGUCCCAUUAGCUAGAUGGUGAGGUAACGGCUCACCAUGGCGACGAUGGGUAGGGGGCCUGAGAGGGUGGUCCCCCACACUGGUACUGAGACACGGACCAGACUCC
This 251-nucleotide ribosomal RNA is filed under the name uncultured bacterium. Its description in RNAcentral is "partial 16S ribosomal RNA". It matches the Rfam family "Bacterial small subunit ribosomal RNA", at positions 86 to 339 of the family's 1533-position model. The record is from RNAcentral.